RNAcentral lists this long non-coding RNA (373 nucleotides) under Ananas comosus (pineapple). RNAcentral's name for it is "long non-coding RNA (ACOM_LNC017464)". The record is from RNAcentral. Lineage: Eukaryota; Viridiplantae; Streptophyta; Magnoliopsida; Poales; Bromeliaceae.
AAAAAUAUUUUUGGAUUUAGAAAAGUAUGUUUUGUAUACUUGUUUAGUUGUAAGAAAAAAAAAUAUCAAAAAAUUAUUUUUAUAGAUUUGAAGAAAAUAGAGUGUUUUCGUUUUCCAUCGACUUUCGACAAAAAAUAAAAACUCAAGCUGCAUAAAACUUUUUUCAUUAAUUUUUUUACCGAACCAAACAAAUAUGAAUUUUUUUUCUUUCAACCAAAUAAAAGUUGAUAAAACAUUACUCUUUUUAAUAAUCCAAUUACUAGAAAAUGUAAAACUUUUUUCUACCAAAUUAAUUUUUCCAUGAAAAAUUGAUUUCAUGAUUUUACGUACAACCAAACACCACUUCACUUUCGCUUUUUACUUGAGCAACUUU